This 324-nucleotide ribosomal RNA is filed under the name uncultured eukaryote. RNAcentral's name for it is "partial 18S ribosomal RNA". It matches the Rfam family "Eukaryotic small subunit ribosomal RNA", at positions 1470 to 1796 of the family's 1831-position model. The record is from RNAcentral.
CCCUUAGAUGUUCUGGGCCGCACGCGCGCUACACUGAUGCAUUCAACGAGUUUCUUCCUGGUCCGAGAGGAAUGGGUAACCUUUUGAAAGUGCAUCGUGAUAGGGAUAGACUAUUUCAAUUAUUGGUCUUCAACGAGGAAUUCCUAGUAGACGUAGUUCAUCAGACUGCAUCGAUUACGUCCCUGCCCUUUGUACACACCGCCCGUCGCUCCUACCGAUUGAAUGCUCAGGUGAGCCAUUCGGACUUUCAUCAUGCUGGUUUCCAGUUUUGAUGAAGGAAAGUCUUGCGAACCUUAUCAUUUAGAGGAAGGAGAAGUCGUAACA